GAGGGUAUAGCUCAGUGGUGGAGUGCGUGCUUAGUAUGCACAAGGUCCUGGGUUCAAUCCCUGGUACCAUCA
Molecule: transfer RNA, 72 nt
Filed under: Camelus bactrianus (Bactrian camel)
Lineage: Eukaryota; Metazoa; Chordata; Mammalia; Artiodactyla; Camelidae
Also listed under: 2 other names
Rfam family: tRNA
About the family: Transfer RNA (tRNA) molecules are approximately 80 nucleotides in length.
Source: Rfam by way of RNAcentral